This 154-nucleotide ribosomal RNA is filed under the name Tigriopus californicus. RNAcentral's name for it is "5.8S ribosomal RNA". It matches the Rfam family "5.8S ribosomal RNA". Rfam says of the family: 5.8S ribosomal RNA (5.8S rRNA) is a component of the large subunit of the eukaryotic ribosome. It is transcribed by RNA polymerase I as part of the 45S precursor that also contains 18S and 28S rRNA. Lineage: Eukaryota; Metazoa; Arthropoda; Copepoda; Harpacticoida; Harpacticidae. The record is from RNAcentral.
AACACUUUACAGUGGAUGCACUUGGCCUCGGGGCGAUGAAGAACGCAGACUAACUGCGCGUCGGAAUGUGAACUGCAGGACCAUAACAUUCGACACUUUGAGCAUAUUGGCGGGACCGUGGUUUUUUCUACUGUCCAUGUCUUGGCUCAGGUCG